Molecule: ribosomal RNA, 113 nt
Filed under: Pochonia chlamydosporia var. spinulospora
Lineage: Eukaryota; Fungi; Ascomycota; Sordariomycetes; Hypocreales; Clavicipitaceae
Description: partial large subunit ribosomal RNA
Source: RNAcentral
AAGCACUUAUGACCAGACUUGGACCCGGUGAAUCAUCCAGCGUUCUCGCUGGUGCACUUUGCCGGGCUCAGGCCAGCAUCAGUUUGCCCCGGGGGAUAAAGGCUUUGGGAAUG